This is a long non-coding RNA of Zalophus californianus (California sea lion), 809 nucleotides long. RefSeq lists it as uncharacterized. The record is from RefSeq and is a predicted model, not a curated record. Lineage: Eukaryota; Metazoa; Chordata; Mammalia; Carnivora; Otariidae. The transcript has 3 exons.
AGGGGGGCGGGGGGGGUAAUGGCAUGGCUGAAUCUACAAUAUAACGGAAUAGGUGCUCUUUUUAAAGGACCAUUUUCUCUUUGGGGUGAGAGGCUGCCUUUGAUUUGAGUUCCGCAUAAGUGCACAUAGUCGUCUAAGUGUACCUAAAAGGACUGUGUUGGAAACCUAUCAGCAAUUAAGCAUCGGCCGCCAUUACUAUAUUACCAAGUGCUAUGAGUCAGGCACUCUAUGGAGUGUCUCUUGGGCUUGAGAGCUCAGGAUUUGGGGUAAGACUGGCCCGGGUUCAAAUUCUGGACAACACCCUUUACUAGGUAUUACUUUAUAAUGGGCAACAUAUAAAGAAUUGAUCUUGGUUAACUAUCAGAGUGACUGGCAUGCACAAUAAUUCUUUGGACUUGGAAGGAGGAUAGGCUGCCGUGAGCUGGAAGACUAUAGGAUUAGAAGGAGGCUCUUGCGCUCUGACCAUGUACGUCCCUACUGGGGCCCUACAGCACCCUGCUCCCACUGUCGCCUCCCACCUCACGCCUCUCCCCAGCUCUGUUUCCAUCUGCACAUGGCGAUGAAGAGCAUCCAUAGCUUUUGAACUGCAUAUGAUCUCAAAGAGACUUAACCCAGUCAAUCCAUCUAUCAAUCAGGAAGUGGUACUUGGAGAAGAGAAUAAAUGUGGCCAAGGUCUGACCUGCACUGGCCCAGAGAGGCAAGAAGAAUGAGAAGCAACAUAGCUGGGUAAGCCAUAAAACAGAUGACCGACAUGAAAUAAAAACCCUCAGUGGGCCUGGGGCAUUUCUGUUACCAUGUCCUCUAAUACA